Molecule: long non-coding RNA, 1062 nt
Organism: Camelus dromedarius (Arabian camel)
Lineage: Eukaryota; Metazoa; Chordata; Mammalia; Artiodactyla; Camelidae
Exons: 3
Source: RefSeq, a predicted model, not a curated record
GUGUGUGUGUGUGUGUGUGUGUGUGUGUGUGUGUGUGUGUGUGUGUGUGAAGUUAUUUAUCCAAGCAUUAUUUGUAAAAUAGGAAACUUGAAAUCACAGUUGGAGAAUAACAAAUUAAGGAAUCCAAGGGUAGACAGUCUUUCUAAAAAUAUUCGGAAACCUUUACAAAUAUUGUUUAGCAAGUCCAGGUAACAUCAUGGGAAAAUGAUUUUCAUGUAAUAGUAAAAUGAACAAUGCAAGAGACACGUGUAAAAAUGUUAACUAUACACAGAAAAGGUAUGACAACCCAAACUCCCCCUAAAUAUGAAUAAUGAUUUGGUACAUGUGUGAUAAUGCUUUUCCAGAUCUUGCAUAUUGAUAGAUUAUAUAGAAAUGCAUACAGAAAGAAAAUGAAGCCUUCCCUUUUUACAAAUAAAGGAAGCAAGCUGCAUCCGGCGCUGUGGCUGGGCAGGAGGGGGAGCCUGGGCAGGGCUGGAGUUGGACAAGAGGGCUUCUCAUUGAUGCCACGUCAGCUGUCCCCCACCCUCAGGCCCUUGGAUCUACCCUUACCCAUCUCUGCAACCUGCCAUUCUCUGCUCCCCUUCCCCUGUGCCUGCCCAGAAUCUCUCAACUGAUCUGGUGAAUUGAAGAAAUCUCCACGCCUGGCAUUGGAAGCACUCACACUUCGGCCGGGGUUUAGGGAUUCUCGAUUAAAAUAAGUAAGAAUGAAGAAUUAAGCAGUUAAAGGAUGACUAGGUCUCUACCCCCAACAGCCCCCUUGGCCAUCCUGCAGGCAGAUCACGAGGGCAAGAUAACAUCUGAAGAGAGAGUCAGCUAUCUGCACGCAAUGGAGAAGGAUGCAGAACCCAACCUCCUGCCUCGACAAGUCACUGAGAUUCUUCCCCCCAUUUUUCCCUUUAAAAACUGUCAUGGCCGAGCAGAAUCUUCAGAGUUGGUCUCUGGACACGAGUCCUCUUUCUCCCCAGAUUGCUGGCUUUUCUGAUUAAAGCACCUUUUCUUUCUAUUGACGUUUGCCUCCCGAUUAUUGGCUUUUGAGUGGUGAGCAACCGAACCUGAGUUUGG